CCCAGGUCGGCCGUGGGUCCAGCGCUCGGAGCGGCCGAGUCCCCGCGUCCCGUGCGCUCCGCCCGCCGGGCAUGGAGUAGUGGCGCAGCUCGGGGCGCGGGGACAGACGUGCGCACAGACGGCGACGACUCCGGCGGCUCCAGCGAGCCCAGCUCUCGGCGCGUGUCGGAGUCUCCCAGCCCCGCGGCCCCGAGCGCACGAUGCGCGGACCCGGGCACCCCCUCCUCCUGGGGCUGCUGCUGGUGCUGGGGGCGGCGGGGCGCGGCCGGGGGGGCGCGGAGCCCCGGGAGCCGGCGGACGGACAGGCGCUGCUGCGGCUGGUGGUGGAACUCGUCCAGGAGCUGCGGAAGCACCACUCGGCGGAGCACAAGGGCCUGCAGCUCCUCGGGCGGGACUGCGCCCUGGGCCGCGCGGAGGCGGCGGGGCUGGGGCCUUCGCCGGAGCAGCGAGUGGAAAUUGUUCCUCGAGAUCUGAGGAUGAAGGACAAGUUUCUAAAACACCUUACAGACUAUAAAAGAUGCGCCAGGCUUCUUACCCGGCUGGCUGUCAGUCCAGUGUGCAUGGAGGAUAAGUGAGCAGACCGUACAGGAGCAGCACACCAGGAGCCAUGAGAAGUGCCUUGGAAACCAACAGGGAAACAGAACUAUCUUUAUACACAUCCCCUCAUGGACAAGAGAUUUAUUUUUGCAGACAGACUCUUCCAUAAGUCCUUUGAGUUUUGUAUGUUGUUGACAGUUUGCAGAUAUAUAUUCGAUAAAUCAGUGUACUUGACAGUGUUAUCUGUCACUUAUUUAAAAAAAAAACACAAAAGGAAUGCUCCACAUUUGACGUGUAGUGCUAUAAAACACAGAAUAUUUCAUUGUCUUCAUUAGGUGAAAUCGCAAAAAAUAUUUCUUUAGAAACAUAAGCAGAAUCUUAAAGUAUAUUUUCAUAUAACAUAAUUUGAUAUUCUGUAUUACUUUCACUGUUAAAUUCUCAGAGUAUUAUUUGGAACGGCAUGAAAAAUUAAAAUUUCGGUCAUGUUUUAGAGACAGUGGAGUGUAAAUCUGUGGCUAAUUCUGUUGGUCGUUUGUAUUAUAAAUGUAAAAUAGUAUUCCAGCUAUUGUGCAAUAUGUAAAUAGUGUAAAUAAACACAAG
RNAcentral lists this long non-coding RNA (1137 nucleotides) under Homo sapiens (human). RNAcentral describes it as "long non-coding RNA NONHSAT183960.1". The record is from RNAcentral. Lineage: Eukaryota; Metazoa; Chordata; Mammalia; Primates; Hominidae.